Esox lucius (northern pike) is the source of this 737-nucleotide long non-coding RNA. RefSeq lists it as uncharacterized. The record is from RefSeq and is a predicted model, not a curated record. The transcript is spliced from 4 exons. NCBI's taxonomy places the organism in Eukaryota, Metazoa, Chordata, Actinopteri, Esociformes, Esocidae.
UUCAUGGAGAGACUUUGCUGGGCCUUACAGAGCGAAUGGUGGAGAAAUUAUUCCCUGUAAUGAAAAAACUGGUUGCAUUUCUGAGGGAAUUAGAGAAAUUAAAGAGAAGGUCAUAUUCACAACAAGGACAUCAUCAGCCAUGUGUGGGGCAACAAUGGCUGGCUGUUUUCCUUCUCCCUGAGUUUCCCCCAGAGCUCAACGAGGAUCCAUCCUUUAAAAAAAAAGAUAAGUCCCACCUGCGCUCCCUUUUAAUCCAAGUGCUGUUCGAUAACAUUACAACAUUACAAAAUUUUUGAAUACUUUUUAAAGCAAAAAAACUACAUUUUAACACUUGUUGUGGUGAGCACUGUGUAUUGCGAAGAUAAUCUGCUUUCAGGUAUCCAAGCCAUAAAAUGUAUGGAGAUGUUCUAGGCAGCUUGAAUACAAAAUAUCCCUUCUUAAAGGAUGGUAGACCCUCUGGCCAUGAUACCUUACUAGAAUGCCUAAAUACAUUUAAAAAGGAAAGGAUUACUUUGAUCCACUCAGAAACAGUUCAGUUCAUGUAGAAAAAAUAUGGGGACAAGAGAAACAUUGACCAGACAACUGGGGACCAUUUUUCAGAACAGAAGCUAGCAAAAAGAUCAAGAGAUGAGGAAAAUGUGUUCCAAACUCCCACACAAGAGGUUUGCACAUUUUUGCAGUAUAGUACAGUAUUUAUAUGUUGUUGUAUAGAUAUAUCUUUUGAUCCUUUACGGUGC